Patiria miniata (bat star) is the source of this 88-nucleotide long non-coding RNA. RefSeq lists it as uncharacterized. The transcript is spliced from 3 exons. The record is from RefSeq and is a predicted model, not a curated record. NCBI's taxonomy places the organism in Eukaryota, Metazoa, Echinodermata, Asteroidea, Valvatida, Asterinidae.
AUGUCUCCCUGGCUGAAGCAACAAAGAUAACACUGCUGGUUUCCGGCUUCGUGCUUACAAAGGUCUUGACCCACAAGAUAACCAUUCC